This 90-nucleotide transfer RNA is filed under the name Clostridium beijerinckii. RNAcentral's name for it is "tRNA-OTHER". The record is from RNAcentral. Lineage: Bacteria; Bacillati; Bacillota; Clostridia; Eubacteriales; Clostridiaceae.
GAUAGAUAAAGCUGGCGAUGGGAACGGGGGCACUGGAAAGCGUGUAUAGGGGCAACUCUAUCAGGGGUUCAAAUCCCCUUCUCUCCGCCA